This 3817-nucleotide unclassified non-coding RNA is filed under the name Hevea brasiliensis (rubber tree). The record is from RNAcentral. Lineage: Eukaryota; Viridiplantae; Streptophyta; Magnoliopsida; Malpighiales; Euphorbiaceae.
GUGCUGUCGUUUUGUUGAAAUUCUCCUUAACGCUCGCAGCGCGGCGGCCCCUUGCCUUCCACCUUUGGCUCUCUCCUCUUUCUUUCCUCCCUCCCUCCCUCGACUUUCUUCUUCUCUACCAUCUCAGGUGCCGCUGUCUCCGCCACCUCUCCCUCACUUCUUGUACCGACAGGCAACAGUAGCCCCAUUAAGAUAUAUUCUGCUGCAGUACAAUCGAGGAGAAGAGGUAAGAGUUUAUUCUCUACCCAAGGCAAGAAAGGCCUUCUAAAACUUUUUACCUGGGUUAUCUAUGUGUUGGGUAGAAACUUGUUGCUGCACUUUGGGCAUCAAGGACAACCCACCAGCAUCAUAGAAGAUGGAACUCGUCUCUGGGUUGCUCGCGUAACGAAGGCAUGAGCUAUUCGGUUUGUUUGAUUGUUGUAGAAUUGGGUUUGUUUGCUUCACUAGACUCCGCUGUAAUUUUCAAUCCAAUUGGGUUUGUUUGAUUGAUGAAUUUUUUGAAUUUGUUUGGGAAAAACCUGUGUUGGGUUUGUUUGAAGUUUGAUGGUUGAAAAUUUGAGUUUUCUUUGAACGUUGAAGGUUGCGAUACCAUCUGAAACAAAGGCUGAGAAGUGGGAAAAAAAAAUUGAGAGAUGGCAGAUUGGAUUUAUUUCGGUAUGAUGAUGGGUGUCUCUAACUAUAUUUGCUGGAUUGAACCACUACUGUGAGCUUUAAUUUUUAGUUUCUCAACUCUCUCUCAUGCGGGCAAAUGCAGUGAUAUAAAACAUCAGAUAAUGGACUUUUCAGAGGAAUGGAAGUCCGUAUUCCCUAUUGGGAGCGUCUUUGGGGCGCCGCUUCUCGUCUCAAGUCCAUCCUCGAAGGCCAUUCUGGGUCCUCUCUUCUUCAACCCAAAACCUCAGACCCUAACUCAACUCUUUAACUCUCCCUCUAUUUGUCCUCCUCUUCUCAAUGCUCCUUCAGGUCUCUCUCUAUCUAGAUUCCUCUCCACUUCAACAACACUCGAAUCCCCUAUCCCUCUCUCCACUGCCUCCUCCAUUGCCUCCCUCUUUGGCCCCCAACUCCAUGAUAAUGCUGCUUCUUUGCUAGCCCACAACCGCCUUCAAUUCCUCAGAUGCCCACAUGACAAUGCUGUCAUUAUCUUCUUUUCCACAGGGUGCAACCAUGACCAGGUUGGGUUUUUGUUACUUUCUGUUAAAGAGAGGAGUUUGCAAGUUGUUGGGGAUCCAAAAGGUGGUGUUCUUACUGCCAAAAAGUGUUUGAAUCAAAGGAUAGUGAAGAUUUUGGUGAACCCAGUUGCGGAUUCUGUUUAUUUUGAUGGUAAUGAUUCUUGUUCUUCUAAUAUAGUUGGGUAUUUGUUGGUUUAUACCAUGUCUUCUGUGCACUGGUUCAGUGUUAAAAUUUCUGAAAUUAGCGAAAGACCUGUUUUGGGUUAUGUUGGUUGCAAAAUUUUUAAGAGUUGCUCUAUCGUGGAUGCUUGUUGGAGUCCUCAUUUGCUAGAAGAGAGUAUGGUUUUGUUGGAGAAUGGUUCAUUGUUUUUGUUUGAUUUGAAGUCUGAUAGUUCUGAUAUAUAUUUUAGAGGAACCAUGUUGAAAGUAUCAUGGGAUGAUUCUGGUAAUUCUGAGAAUCGUAAAUGGUUGGGAUGUCACUUCAGUUGGCAUCCUAGGGUUUUGAUUGUUGCAGGUUCAGAUGCUGUUUUUCUGGUUGAUUGGAGGCAUGAUGGGUUUAAAGUGACUUGUUUGGCAAAUAUUGAUAUGUUUGGUGUGUAUGCUCCAAUUGAAAAGGAACGGUUCCUAGUUUUUUCCAAGGCAGUUUCCGAUAACUUUCAUUUUGUUUUGGCUUCUGACCACAUUUUAGCUCUCUGUGAUGUGCGCAAGCCGCUGAUGCCAAUUUUGCAAUGGGCACAUGGUCUUGAUAAGCCAUGCUAUGUUGAUGUAUUCAGAUUGUCACAAUUGAGGUCAAACUCAAGGAAAAGCACACAUGAAUGGGCAACUGCAUCAGGUUUUGGUAUUAUAUUGGGAUCAUUUUGGAAUUGUGAGUUUAGUCUCUUUUGCUAUGGACCUCCUCUGCCUGCUCACAAAGGGUCAAUUGCUUCAGAAAUUUCAAAAAUUUCCAAAUCUUCUUAUUCUUGGGAUGUCCCUUCAGAUCUCUUGUUGUCUGGUAAUAAGUGUCGAUGUGGAAGUUGUCUUGUAAGAGAAGAGUUUUUGAAGGAUGCUCUUCCCGAAUGGAUUGAUUGGCAGCAGAAAAAAGACAUAGUUUUGGGGUUUGGCAUUUUAAGCAGUGAUCUCUCUUCAUUGCUCUUUGAGUCGGAUGAAUUUGGUGGUUUUACUUUGAUUAGACUAAUGUCCUCAGGGAAGCUGGAGUCACAGAGAUAUUAUGCAUCAUGGGAUUUGGUUAGAAAAUUAGAAGCAGCUCAUAGAGAUCAAUUGCUGUGUUUUGGAGACAACUUGCUUUACUCCUUGGAGGAUGAGGAAUACAAGUUUCCUAGAAGAUUUAAGUAUUUGAAGCUGGAUUACCUCUCUGCAUAUAUUAAUGGUAAUAUUUCUCAGGUCUUGGAUUCAAACAUGACAAAGCCUUGCAAGGGUUCUCAACAGAGAGAGUCUUUUAGCAUAGACUUUCAUGAAACACUGUGCGAGAAAUUGAAGAUUUGUGGGUUCAGUCAAUUUAGAACAUCCCCUGCCAUUAGCGUUGUUUUUAAUGACAUCAACUUGCCAACAAGUGUACAUGAAGUUGCUUUGAGGAGCAUAUGGGCAAGCUUGCCAAUGGAACUCUUGCAACUUGCCUUUUCCAGCUACUCCGAAUUUCUUGAAGUACUCUUGGACAAGAAGGUGGUUUCUUUGGAAUUUUUAGUUGUUCCGGACCUACCUCAGUUGCCUCCAUUUUUCUUAAGGAAGCCUUCAAGUCGCAGCAGUAGGUGGUCACAUAAAGUGCCGCACAGCAAUGCCCUUGUUGGUCCAGUUCUUCCUCUCCCUAUUUUGAUUACACUUCAUGAGUUACAAAAUAGCUGUCCAAAUUCACAGGAUGAAGAAAUAGGUGGCUUUUCACCAGAGGUGGAACUAAGCAAUCGGUGCAGUGAAGUAAUGCAAGUGGCAAGGGAAAUGGCCAUGCCAGAUUCUACAGUUGAGCCUGAUGAUGAAGAUGCUGUCUCCCUUGCCAAUGACAGAGAUAACAUCUGGGUUGAUUCUGAAAAACCAAAGUCAUUCUUUUUACACUGUCCCGUUGCAGUACACUGCUCUACUGAGGUCUAUAGAGAGAGCAACUGUGUUCAUAAGGAUGGCAGAUUUGCUUACUUGAUUUCAAAAGUGCAUGAGAAAGAGUCCAUCCACAACAAUGAGGUAGAAAAUGUCAGACAAGAACUCUUUGAUGAUCUGUGCCCCAUUCAAUUGAAGUUUGAUGCUGCUGCUAUGGACUUCAGUUCACAAGAAUUGAAAGCUUAUAAUUUGUUGAAAAGGCAUUUCUCAAAAUGGCAAGAAGAAUUCAAACCAUUUCAGGGUUUUUAUAGCCGUUUCCAAAAGCAAGACAAGUAAAAGUUUUUCUCAUUUCUGGAACUUUUACAUUUUUUGUCCUGAAUAUUGCUUUUAUCAAGGCCCAUCCCCUUACAAUUUUGUAUCCCUUUGCUAUUACUAAAGGAAAACAGCAAGAAAAUCUUACGUGUGAACAAAACUAGAGUUGUAUAUAGAGCAAGAAAAUUUAAUUGUGACUAUUAUCAAUAGGAAUUAUUUGUAAAAUUUGUACCUUUUCUAUCUAUCCCACCCAGAAUUCUCUUUUCAAUUUUCUCCACACAUGUAAAAUUGUUUUUGUUUCCUUGCACAUAUUACCA